This is a long non-coding RNA of Oncorhynchus tshawytscha (Chinook salmon), 1880 nucleotides long. The record is from Ensembl. NCBI's taxonomy places the organism in Eukaryota, Metazoa, Chordata, Actinopteri, Salmoniformes, Salmonidae.
CCGUAGGCAAAUAUCAACAACUUCAUGAAAAUACCCAUUUUGUGACGUGGAAUGUCCUUCUGGCUGAACGGGGGAUGACCAUGGAGGAGAACGCACAGGAACAUUUUUAAAUGAAUGACUGAUUAUAAAUCUAUAGAAAAUAUUAAGAUAACUAAUAUUGAGAGGAAAAGAGGACCUGAGCCCUAGGACCAUGCCUCAGUACUACCUGGCCCAAUGACUCCUUGCUGUCCCCAGUCCACCUGGUCAUCCUGCUGCGCCAGAUUCAACUGUUCUGCCUGCGGCUAUGGAACCCUGACCUGUUCACUGGACGUGCUACCUUGUCCCGGACCUGCUGUUUUGGACUCUCUCCACCACACCUGCUGUCUCUAACUCUGAAUGAUUGGCUAUGAAAAGCCAACUGAUAUUUACUCCUGAGGUGCUGACUUGUUGCACCCCCUAUGAACACUGUAAUUAUUAUUAUCUGAUCCUCCUGGUCAUCAAUUAACGUUUGAACAUCUUGGCCAUGUUCUGUUAUAAUCUCCACCUGGCACAGGUCACCACUGCAUACAGGCCUACUCUGUAGCUACAUGACAACAUUGAUAAUCACCACAACCUAAUGUUUUCAACCACUGUGAAUCAGUUUGUAAAAUAUCAGAGCCCUAUGACCAUGAAUAUUAGGCGAAGUGGUCUUCCCUAAUGAAGUCAAACCAAUCCAGAACCAUUCGCAACCUCUGGCCGAGGAUGCCCUAUCGCGCAGGAAAACAGCUGAUCCAACCAAGAGGUAACUGAGUUUAAAAUGUUUGUGAGACUGCGCUAAACAAUGGCUCCGGCUACUUUUAACUUGCAACCUGAUUUUCAAAUGAACGUUUAAGUAACUUCGAUGUGUCUGCCUUUCCUAAGAAGUUGGAGAAUGUGUCAAAUAAAAAUGCAGAUAAACGCUAAAACAAACGUUCCACGGAUUGUCUACGCAUAGGAGGAGUAAAUAGCAUUGUUAUUCUGCCCUACACGGUAUCAAGAACACAGGUCAUACUCAAAGUCCAUGAAUGGGAAUUAAUGGAUGAGAAUGAGCACAUAAAAUUGCUGACGGCAAUCAUUGUCACAUGGUUUGGGCUGCAUCUGGAACCAGGGGUGCAACUAGUUUUAGAAGUCGGGGGACAUCACCUGGUGGGGGUCCUCCCUCAGAUUUUUGGUGACAUCUAAAGCUAAUUUCCUCAAUUUCUAGGCUAGUUCCAGGCUGUAGCAGACAAAAAAAAACUUGGUCGAGAAAGAGUAGUCUUUUCUUUCGACCAAAUGAUUGCCAAAUAUCAAUGUGAUUCACAUUUUCAAACAGUCCAUUUAUAUUUCUCAACGGGGCUAUACGUUUGGGUGAUGUUUUUUUCUUGCCCGAGUAGCCUCGUUUCACUGCCAAAAAUAAAAUCAAACCAUCUAGUGUUCAGCGAAAUAACAAUGUCAAAUACAGGUAGCCUAGUCAAAUAAUUAACAUCUAAUAACAUUAACCGUUGCUCUCUCGCGGGAAUUCCACUAAAUGUAUGUAGCCAAACAAAAGACAAAUAAAUUGACAACAUUCGUAAAUGGAAUGAAAAAAAACUUGUUUCUCACAAGUGUAGUAUAGGUUGAGUUCUGCAAAACACCGUGUCCACUCUGAGAAUGGUAAAUGACUAAUAAUAAUAUAUUCAAUGCAUUAACAGAAAUGAUCGUAACCAAACAAACAUCUUAGAUUAGAAAUUCUGGGAAUUAACGGUAAACGUAGGCUAAUGCUAGUGAUAUAUGUAACGGGGAUUUGAUAGACACAGCAGACAAUGCACACAAUGAAGUUAUGAAACAAUGAAUGAAUACUCCUCAAUGGAUUUCACCACGGCCUCCUCAAAGGAUUAGUCCACUGAGACAGGCGCAAAUCAGAC